AAGUACAUCAAGGAAGGUGGAGUGCAUUACAAAAUAGUAAUGCACUCCACCUUCCUUGAUGUACUU
This is a non-coding RNA of Pelobates cultripes (western spadefoot toad), 66 nucleotides long. The record is from the annotation of a GenBank genome assembly. Lineage: Eukaryota; Metazoa; Chordata; Amphibia; Anura; Pelobatidae.